GCCUGAGAAACGGCUACCACAUCCAAGGAAGGCAGCAGGCGCGCAAAUUACCCACUCCCGGCACGGGGAGGUAGUGACGAAAAAUAACGAUACGGGACUCUUUUGAGGCCCCGUAAUCGGAAUGAGUACACUCUAAAUCCUUUAACAAGGAUCCAUUGGAGGGCAAGUCUGGUGCCAGCAGCCGCGGUAAUUCCAGCUCCAAUAGCGUAUAUUAAAGUUGUUGCGGUUAAAAAGCUCGUAGUUGGAUCUCAGUUCCAGACAGGCGGACCGCCUUUCGGCGUGUUCUGCUUGGACUGAACAUCCUGUCGGUUGUCCCUCGGUGCUCUUUAUUGAGUGUCUUGGGUGCCCGGCACGUUUACUUUGAAAAAAUUAGAGUGCUUAAAGCAGGCGUUUUGCCAGAAUAAUGGUGCAUGGAAUAAUGGAAUAGGACCUCGAUUCUAUUGAGUUGGUUUUCGGAACACGAGGUAAUGAUUAAGAGGGACAGACGGGGGCAUUCGUAUUGCGGCGCUAGAGGUGAAAUUCUUGGACCGUCGCAAGACGAASUACU
RNAcentral lists this ribosomal RNA (547 nucleotides) under Acuclavella makah. RNAcentral's name for it is "SSU rRNA". It matches the Rfam family "Eukaryotic small subunit ribosomal RNA", at positions 396 to 955 of the family's 1831-position model. The record is from RNAcentral. Lineage: Eukaryota; Metazoa; Arthropoda; Arachnida; Opiliones; Ceratolasmatidae.